RNAcentral lists this ribosomal RNA (253 nucleotides) under uncultured bacterium. RNAcentral describes it as "partial 16S ribosomal RNA". It matches the Rfam family "Bacterial small subunit ribosomal RNA", at positions 524 to 776 of the family's 1533-position model. The record is from RNAcentral.
UACGGAGGGUGCGAGCGUUGUCCGGAAUCACUGGGCGUAAAGGGCUCGUAGGCGGUCCAUCGCGUCGGUAGUGAAAAGCUGGGGCUCAACCCCAGUCCUGCUUCCGAUACGGGUGGACUAGAGGUAUGCAGGGGAGAACGGAAUUCCUGGUGUAGCGGUGAAAUGCGCAGAUAUCAAGAGGAACACCUGAGGUGAAGACGGGUUGCUGGGCCGACACUGACGCUGAUGCGCGAAAGCCAGGGGAGCGAACGGG